GUUGAAUUGAAGCUUAACUAGGUGACGAGUCGGUGAAUCAAGUAGCACCGAAACCAUAAGUUGUACUUUCUUUUGGAGUACGAGUUUUGCAGGCAUUGUAGAUAUCCAUUGUUGAUCGUUGUGUGGUUGUACCCUCUCUUAGGGUAGCAUGUCAGGAAGGCUGGACUAGUUUUGGCGAAAUUUUGUAGAUAGGGAUGUAGUUGCAGCCUAUGUUUAUAUCUAGUUUAUUGUAUAGUUUAAUGAUUUCUUGAGACUUCCGCUGUGUUUGUAAGAACGAUAUAUUUUGUGUUAUCAAUAAAGUGACUGUUGGUUAA
Long non-coding RNA from Rhododendron vialii, 314 nucleotides. RefSeq lists it as uncharacterized. The transcript is spliced from 3 exons. The record is from RefSeq and is a predicted model, not a curated record. NCBI's taxonomy places the organism in Eukaryota, Viridiplantae, Streptophyta, Magnoliopsida, Ericales, Ericaceae.